UACGAAGGGGGCUAGCGUUGCUCGGAUUGACUGGGCGUAAAGGGCGCGUAGGCGGUUCGUACAGUCAGACGUGAAAUUCAUGGGCUCAACCUGGGGGCUGCGUUUGAUACGUGCGGACUUGAGUGCGGAAGAGGGUCGUGGAAUUCCCAGUGUAGAGGUGAAAUUCGUAGAUAUUGGGAAGAACACCGGUGGCGAAGGCGGCGACCUGGUCCGAUACUGACGCUGAGGCGCGAAAGCGUGGGGAGCAAACAGG
This 253-nucleotide ribosomal RNA is filed under the name uncultured bacterium. RNAcentral describes it as "partial 16S ribosomal RNA". It matches the Rfam family "Bacterial small subunit ribosomal RNA", at positions 524 to 776 of the family's 1533-position model. The record is from RNAcentral.